This 362-nucleotide long non-coding RNA is filed under the name Nicotiana benthamiana. RNAcentral describes it as "long non-coding RNA (NBEN_LNC040294)". Lineage: Eukaryota; Viridiplantae; Streptophyta; Magnoliopsida; Solanales; Solanaceae. The record is from RNAcentral.
GGAAAUAUGGGGGGAGAAAACUGUCCAAAAGAAGCCGGUGGAAAAAGUGCCGGAAAGUGGGCACACGCGCGCGGCGCGUGGAGGACAGGGGCGGCGCGUGGGCGGCGUGUGGCGGCGCGUGCGGCUGUUUUCGGCAACGAAAUUUGCAGGAAAUGUGCGCCUGACACUGUGUGUCACGAUGGUGUGGGAGGUGAGUCAAAGAAACCCCCGAGGGAUGUCGAAACACUGUCGGAACAGUGUUCCAGGCAGUGGGGUAAGGGGGGCGAAGGUGGGGUAGGGGUACUUACCUGGUGGUUACCUGGAGGUUCCGGCGACUCGCCAGAUGGUGGUGGUGGAGCUGAUGGUGUGUGCUUGGGGAAGGG